AUUGAACGCUGGCGGCAGGCCUAACACAUGCAAGUCGAACGAGUGGCGGACGGGUGAGUAAUGUCUGGGAAACUGCCUGAUGGAGGGGGAUAACUACUGGAAACGGUAGCUAAUAACGCAUACCAUCAGAUGGUACCAGAUGGGACGGGCUUGUUGGUUGGGUAACGGCUCACCAAGGCGACGAUCCCUAUCUGGUCUGAGAGGAUGAACAUCCACACUGGAACUCAGACACGGUCCAGACUCCUACGGGUGGCAGCAGUGGGGAAUAUUGCACAAUGGGCGCAAGCCUGAUGCAGCCAUGCCGCGUGUAUGAAGAAGGCCUUCGGGUUGUAAAGUACUUUCAGCGGGGAGGCGUUACCCGCAGAAGAAGCACCGGCUAACUCCGUGCCAGCAGCCGCGGUAAUUC
This 406-nucleotide ribosomal RNA is filed under the name uncultured bacterium. RNAcentral's name for it is "partial 16S ribosomal RNA". It matches the Rfam family "Bacterial small subunit ribosomal RNA", at positions 30 to 526 of the family's 1533-position model. The record is from RNAcentral.